GACAACUUGUUUCGAGAAUUUAAAAUUAUUGAGGCUUUCAUUGCUGUCGGAAUACUUUUUUACAGCAUUGUUCUGAUAUAUAUUAGGUAACAAGCUAUUAUAUUAUAGGUAACAAUCAAUUGGAACUUGUUCGACACCUAAUAUUUUGCUCCUCUAUUAGGUAGUAAGGAGGUCAUGACUUGAGGUACAUUUGGUGGCAUUAUGUGCAAGUAGGUGUGUUUUGGGCUGAUUCAUAUGAGUUUGGUGAGUAAAAGGGAUGGUAUCUUUCUGGAUGCAUAGCAAUGAAACAUUAUUGAGCUGUGAUUUAUUAUCCUGCUGGUAGGCUAGCAAUUAGACUCCAUAAUCUCUUUCCACACUAGCCGAGCAAUCUUUUCUCAGAUGCCAAGUGCAGGCGUGGGACUUUCAUGUAAUCUUUUUCUAUUUCUUUUCUAAGAUAAUUAUUCUCCUUUUUCAAUCUUUUCUAAGUUGAAACCUCAUUAAAUUAAACAUGGUAGAAAAGCAUGUAACCAUCUCCCAAACUUCUCAAAGAUGGUUUAGGGGCCAGAAAAUGGUACGGUUCCUCUUGAGGAGUUCAAGUGGACCCUAUGAUAACUAGUCCCAUUGUAAUAUAUGUGCAUGCUUUCACGUAGGCUGUCCCACUUUACCAAGAUACCACCAAAACUAGCUCAGAUAAAAAUCCCAACUAAUAUAAUCAGAGCCUAUACUACAUCAAAUGCUUUGUUGUUGGUGGAGCUUCUGAGGCUUUAGCAUUAUAAUGGUGGAAAGAUGAGCAAUACUACUCUGACGUAUGACUUUUUCUUCCAGCUUCCUUUACAAAAGUGACUACCUCUGUGGGAGGUUGCUGUGCUACCAAGCCAUUAUUGCUUACCGACUCCACUUGGCUAUGGAUGUGACAGAAGGCUAUGCAGGAAUGUAUCAUGCAACAUUUGGAUGAUGCAUGAGGCAUGUAACCAUUGGCAGUGCUCUCUUUCUUUCGCAGAACCUGUGCUUUUUGAGCAGCACAAUCUACUCUUUGCUUUUAUUAUUUUCGCAGAAUCUUCGCCAUUCUUCUAUGGUGCCGAAUUACAGGAAGGUGCACAUCUUCAAACAGCGCAAGUGAGGACCAGGCUAUUAAUGAAAGCUUCUGGGCUGGAGAGGUUUAUCCCACUGAGUGGGGGAAGUGAAGCAUAGUUGCUAAGAUUUCAUUGUUACCUCGACCCAUACUGGAUGCUCUGCUGGUUUAAACUUCUAUCUACCAUCCUGCAAUGUCGCUGAUCUUACUUUAUCAUACUGCUUAGAGGUGAUCAAGUUGGAGGAUCAUAUCAGUAAUUUGCCUGAUAGUCUUAUUGUAACCAUCAUUUCUUUGCUGAGUACAAGGGAAGCAGUGAAAACACGUUUUAUCUAGAAGGUGGAGGAGCCUUUGGACAAACAUAAAGAACAUUUAUUUUGAUCUCUCCAACUUCCUCUCAGCCAUACUUCCCUGAAUUCUGUAUACCAGUUCAUGCAGCAGUAUCAGAGGGGACUUUGACAUGCUAAGAGUUUGCCAUUCCCUCUGCUCUUAACACUUGCAGUAUCUUGACCAAUGGGAUCAGUUACUGCUGGUCCAGCUCGUAUAGAACAUCUUUCCGUCAUGUUAGACUUUGAUUUUGCAUUUCAUGAGGGAAAGGGGACUUUGAUUCUGCUGCCAUGUUGCUAAUGUGAAGACUAGAUAUGCUGCCUCUAUAAAUCUCAAAAAUCUCAGGGCAGUUGGUUGGUUCUGGGGAAAUCAAAAUUGUUGAGCUCCAUGCUUUGAUUCUUGUAACUUUUGAAUAGUGUACUCCUUCAAUAGCCUUCUCAUUUCAAAGAGUUCCAGAAUUGUUGGAAUGUUAAUUGGCGUGAA
Non-coding RNA from Phoenix dactylifera (date palm), 1858 nucleotides. NCBI's taxonomy places the organism in Eukaryota, Viridiplantae, Streptophyta, Magnoliopsida, Arecales, Arecaceae. The record is from RefSeq and is a predicted model, not a curated record.